RNAcentral lists this long non-coding RNA (779 nucleotides) under Olea europaea subsp. europaea. Lineage: Eukaryota; Viridiplantae; Streptophyta; Magnoliopsida; Lamiales; Oleaceae. The record is from RNAcentral.
CAGACCAACACCAUCACCUCCAACACACCACGAUUACUACCUUCAACUCAAAUACACGACCAUAAAUACUAACUUCACUAACCUGUGGUAUCUAUGAUUAACAGUGAUUAAAUUUGUCUUCAGCAUGACUAUUCGUGAUCAUGUCAGUCUAAUUUGUAACUGUAUGUGGCAAAGUCACAUACAAUUACAAUUAACAUAAAUCUGGUCAUAAAAACUCACAAUGAAGAUAGACUUGAUCACACCCGAUUGCCGUCGUAACAGCCAUUCCCACAAACAUCGAGAACCAAACACGUACCACCUUACCACAACCAUAUGCACCACCACCAAUAGAUUCACAAACAACAACAUAACCAUCCCAUAGAUCAGGAAAUCAUUGACACCAUUUGCAAAACAUUAACAACCAUCCCAAAACCUUGACAAAACAACAGAUUUGAUGAAACGACUACCCACAAAAUCAAUUUCAAAUAUUUUUCUUUCAUUGUUACACGAAUUUCUCAACCUAAACCCUAAAAUUCUCAGCUCUAAGUUCAAUAUGGCAGGUAGAGAUGAAGACGACAACUGACCAAGAACUACUUACCCUUUAGUAUCAUCGACAAGAAAUCGCUUAACAAAAAUGCAAAGUUGAACAUUUAUUACAAGCAAUAGUGGCUCAUUGCAAGUAGAGCUAGGCGCUGUAUAUAGUGGUUCGUCGUCACGCGCGACGGUUCUUCUUCGCCACGCACAGAGGCAUCCAAAAAUGGGAUGUUAGAGAGUGGGUAGGUAUAGCAACAGCAAGUGAA